This is a long non-coding RNA of Neopelma chrysocephalum (saffron-crested tyrant-manakin), 443 nucleotides long. RefSeq lists it as uncharacterized. The record is from RefSeq and is a predicted model, not a curated record. The transcript is spliced from 5 exons. Lineage: Eukaryota; Metazoa; Chordata; Aves; Passeriformes; Pipridae.
UUCCACAGCACGUUGCCAUCAAAAGGACUUAGUAAGGAAUCUCAAAUGUGCUUUCCAGUAUGAGAAAGAGAAAGAAGAAGUAAGCAAAAGAGGCCACACAGAAGAAUUUGUAGAUUUCAUUGAUACAGACUAUGGAAGAUAAUAUAAAAAGAGCUCUAGUAUGUAUGCUUAUCUCAUUAUCUCCAUUUUCAGCUGUAGCCACUGUUCUGACCAGUAAGGAAAGAGCAAUUUCUGUAGAGCUAAAUAAACACCAGACGCGUUUAGUAUAAAUCCAUCAAGAGCGAUCUGGAUCACUCCUGCCCUGCCACUUGCAUGGCAAAGAGGAAAGGCAGAAGAUUAGAUUGAUACUGACAACUCAUUCCCUGUGAAGGUGCCACGACGUGGCAUUUAUUUGCAUCUACAUUGCAGUUCUCUUCAUCAAUCGGCUUUGCAGAGAUCACUGC